UCCACACCCAUGUGUGUCGGACCCCAAAAGAUCACCAUUUAAAUUUGGCACAGAUCUCUAGAAAAGUUAUCACAUGGGUGUGAGACUUGACUUUUCUAGCGAUUUGUGCUAAAUUUAAUACUGAUCUUUUGGGGUCCUACACACAUGGGUGUGUG
Molecule: microRNA precursor, 155 nt
Filed under: Amborella trichopoda
Lineage: Eukaryota; Viridiplantae; Streptophyta; Magnoliopsida; Amborellales; Amborellaceae
Description: MIR8565 microRNA precursor family
Rfam family: MIR8565 microRNA precursor family
Source: Rfam by way of RNAcentral